AUUGAACGCUGGCGGCAGGCCUAACACAUGCAAGUCGAGCGGAUCAAGGGAGCUUGCUCCUGGAUUCAGCGGCGGACGGGUGAGUAAUGCCUAGGAAUCUGCCUGGUAGUGGGGGAUAACGUCCGGAAACGGGCGCUAAUACCGCAUACGUCCUGAGGGAGAAAGUGGGGGAUCUUCGGACCUCACGCUAUCAGAUGAGCCUAGGUCGGAUUAGCUGGUUGGUGGGGUAAAGGCCUACCAAGGCGACGAUCCGUAACUGGUCUGAGAGGAUGAUCAGUCACACUGGAACUGAGACACGGUCCAGACUCCUACGGGAGGCAGCAGUGGGGAAUAUUGGACAAUGGGCGAAAGCCUGAUCCAGCCAUGCCGCGUGUGUGAAGAAGGUCUUCGGAUUGUAAAGCUCUUUAAGUUGGGAGGAAGGGCAGUAAGUUAAUACCUUGCUGUUUUGACGUUACCAACAGAAUAAGCACCGGCUAACUUCGUG
Molecule: ribosomal RNA, 484 nt
Filed under: uncultured bacterium
Lineage: Bacteria
Description: partial 16S ribosomal RNA
Rfam family: Bacterial small subunit ribosomal RNA
Source: RNAcentral